RNAcentral lists this ribosomal RNA (442 nucleotides) under uncultured bacterium. RNAcentral's name for it is "partial 16S ribosomal RNA". It matches the Rfam family "Bacterial small subunit ribosomal RNA", at positions 338 to 795 of the family's 1533-position model. The record is from RNAcentral.
CCUACGGGUGGCAGCAGUGGGGAAUAUUGGGCAAUGGGCGCAAGCCUUACCCAGCAACGCCGCGUGAAUGAAGAAGGCUUUCGGGUUGUAAACUUCUUUUAUGGGGGAAGAGCAGAAGACGGUACCCCUUGAAUAAGCCACGGCUAACUACGUUCCAGCAGCCGCCGUAAUAAGUAGGGGGCAAGCGUUUUCGGGAUUUACUUGGUGAAAAGGGGGUGAAGCCGGAGAGAAAAGUCAGAUGUGAAAUCCAAGGGCUCAACCCGUGAACUGCAUUUGAAACUGUUUCCCUUGAGUGUAGGAGAGGAAAUCGGAAUUCCUAGGGUAGCGGUGAAAUGCGUAGAUAUAAGGAAGAACACCAGUGGCGAAGGCGAAUUACUGGACGAUAACUGACGGUGAGGCGCGAAAGCGUGGGGAGCAAACAGGAUUAGAUACCCUUGUAGUC